AGCAGCCGCGGUAAUUCCAGCUCCAAUAGCGUAUAUUAAAGUUGUUGCAGUUAAAAAGCUCGUAGUUGAAUUUCGGGGUCAGUAGAUUGGUCAUGCCACUGGUAUGUACUGGUCUCACUGAUUCCUCCUUCCUGAUGAGCCGUAAUGCCAUUAAUUUGGUGUUGCGAGGAAUCUGGACUGUUACUUUGAAAAAUUAGAGUGUUUAAAGCAGGCUAACGCUUGAAUACAUUAGCAUGGAAUAAUGAAAUAGGACGUUCGAUCUUAUUUUGUUGGUUUCUAAGAUUGACGUAAUGAUUAAUAGGGAUAGUUGGGGGCAUUAGUAUUCAAUUGUCAGAGGUGAAAUUCUUGGAUUUAUUGAAGACUAACUACUGCGAAAGCAUUUGCCAAGGAUGUUUUCAUUAAUCAAGAACGAAAGUUAGGGGAUCGAAGACGAUCAGAUACCGUCGUAGU
RNAcentral lists this ribosomal RNA (450 nucleotides) under uncultured Glomeromycotina. Its description in RNAcentral is "SSU rRNA". It matches the Rfam family "Eukaryotic small subunit ribosomal RNA", at positions 569 to 1024 of the family's 1831-position model. The record is from RNAcentral. Lineage: Eukaryota; Fungi; Glomeromycota.